This 65-nucleotide transfer RNA is filed under the name Neilupotamon sinense. RNAcentral describes it as "tRNA-Ser". It matches the Rfam family "tRNA". From Rfam's summary of the family: Transfer RNA (tRNA) molecules are approximately 80 nucleotides in length. Their secondary structure includes four short double-helical elements and three loops (D, anti-codon, and T loops). The record is from RNAcentral. Lineage: Eukaryota; Metazoa; Arthropoda; Malacostraca; Decapoda; Potamidae.
GACUAUUUAGUUUAAUUUAAAACAAAUGUUUUGAAAACAUUAAAAAAGAGAGUUCUUAAUAGCCA